GGCCAAAGGAGCACCUGAACUUCAUCAGAUACAACUGCAUCAGGGGGUCCCAUUCAUCAAGUGGAUGACUGGAUUAUAGAGUUGGAGCCCCUAAAGGCAGCGCAACUGUUCAGCCAUUCAACACGUGACGCCCACCUGUCCUUAAACUUAAAUCUCCAAGAUUCAGUAGAGGAAAGGAACAGGGCCAUCGUUAUUUUUUAUAAGAUGCCACGGGUGGAGUGGUUCAAUCCACUGCAAUGCAAAUUGAUAGGUGACUGCCGUUGGUGAGGUGGUGACCAGGUAUAUGCUGGCCACAGUGAUGGAGCAUCUACAAAAUGGAUUCAUGCUAGAUGAAGCAAGAGGAGUAAAGACAUUGCUCUGAGGGUGAGCAGGACCACCUCGUGCUGUCCACCUGCCAUGAGCUCCUGGAGAAUGACUUCUUUGUAGUAGCAGGCAGGAUAAUGGGUCACUGUUUUUUAAAUGAUGGCCCAUGCCUAUAUGGCCUAAGCCAUGCAAUCAUCCAUGUCCUGUU
Lampris incognitus (smalleye Pacific opah) is the source of this 511-nucleotide long non-coding RNA. RefSeq lists it as uncharacterized. The record is from RefSeq and is a predicted model, not a curated record. NCBI's taxonomy places the organism in Eukaryota, Metazoa, Chordata, Actinopteri, Lampriformes, Lampridae. The transcript is spliced from 5 exons.